This 423-nucleotide ribosomal RNA is filed under the name uncultured bacterium. RNAcentral's name for it is "bacterial SSU rRNA". It matches the Rfam family "Bacterial small subunit ribosomal RNA", at positions 207 to 622 of the family's 1533-position model. The record is from RNAcentral.
AAGACCUUGCACUUUUGGAGCGGCCGAUGUCUGAUUAGCUAGUUGGUGGGGUAAUGGCCUACCAAAGCUUCGAUCAGUAGCUGGUCUGAGAGGACGACCAGCCACACUGGGACUGAGACACGGCCCAGACUCCUACGGGAGGCAGCAGUGGGGAAUUUUGGACAAUGGGGGCAACCCUGAUCCAGCCAUGCCGCGUGAGUGAAGAAGGCCUUCGGGUUGUAAAGCUCUUUCAGCCGGAACGAAACGGUUACGGUUAACACCCGUGACUACUGACGGUACCGGAAGAAGAAGCACCGGCUAACUACGUGCCAGCAGCCGCGGUAAUACGUAGGGUGCGAGCGUUAAUCGGAAUUACUGGGCGUAAAGGGUGCGCAGGCGGUUUUGUAAGUCAGAUGUGAAKUCCCCGGGCUUAACCUGGGAACU